CCUACGGGAGGCAGCAGUGGGGAAUAUUGCACAAUGGGGGAAACCCUGAUGCAGCAACGCCGCGUGAGUGAAGAAGUAUUUCGGUAUGUAAAGCUCUAUCAGCAGGGAAGAAGGUGACGGUACCUGAUUAAGAAGCCCCGGCUAACUACUUGCCAGCAGCCGCGGUAAUACGUAGGGGGCAAGCGGUAUCCGGAGUUACUGGUUGUAAAGGGAGCACAGACGGCAGUUCAAGGCUGGAGUGAAAGGCCGGGGCCCAACCCCGGGAAUGCUCUGGGAACUGUGCGGCUAGAGUACUGGAGGGGCAGGCGGAAUUCCUAGUGUAGCGGUGAAAUGCGGAGAUAUUAGGAGGAACACCAGUGGCGAAGGCGGCCUGCUGGACAGUAACUGACGUUGAGGCUCGAAAGCGUGGGAAGCAAACCAGGAUUAGAUACCCCUGUAGUC
This 441-nucleotide ribosomal RNA is filed under the name uncultured bacterium. RNAcentral describes it as "partial 16S ribosomal RNA". It matches the Rfam family "Bacterial small subunit ribosomal RNA", at positions 338 to 795 of the family's 1533-position model. The record is from RNAcentral.